Oncorhynchus keta (chum salmon) is the source of this 889-nucleotide long non-coding RNA. RefSeq lists it as uncharacterized. The transcript is spliced from 4 exons. The record is from RefSeq and is a predicted model, not a curated record. NCBI's taxonomy places the organism in Eukaryota, Metazoa, Chordata, Actinopteri, Salmoniformes, Salmonidae.
CCCUGUACCCACACAGACACUUGAUACCAAGUCAGGUAACCCCUGUACCCACACAGACACUUGAUACCAAGUCAGUUAACCCCUGUACCCACACAGACACUUGAUACCAAGUCAGUUAACCCCUGUACCCACACAGACACUUGAUACCAAGUCAGGUAACCCCUGUACCCACACAGACACUUGAUACCAAGUCAGUUAACCCCUGUACCCACACAGACACUUGAUACCAAGUCAGGUAACCCCUGUACCCACACAGACACUGGACACCAAGUCAGGUAACCCCUGUACCCACACAGACACUGGACACCAAGUCAGGUAACCCCUGUACCCACACAGACACUUGAUACCAAGUCAGGUAACCCCUGUACCCACACAGACACUUGACACCAAGUCAGGUAACCCCUGUACCCACACAGACACUUGAUACCAAGUCAGGUAACCCCUGUACCCACACAGACACUGGACACCAAGUCAGUUAACCCCUGUACCCACACAGACACCUGACACCAAGUCAGGUAACCCCUGUACCUACACAGACACUGGACACCAAGUCAGGUAACCCCUGUACCCACACAGACACUGGACACCAAGUCAGGUAACCCCUGUACCCACACAGACACUUGAUACCAAGUCAGGUAACCCCUGUACCCACACAGACACUUGAUACCAAGUCAGUUAACCCCUGUACCCACACAGACACUUGAUACCAAGUCAGGUAACCCCUGUACCCACACAGACACUUGAUACCAAGUCAGUUAACCCCUGUACCCACACAGACACUUGAUACCAAGUCAGGUAACCCCUGUACCCACACAGACACUGGACACCAAGUCAGGUAACCCCUGUACCCACACAGACACUGGACACCAAGUCAGGUAACCCCUGUACC